This 779-nucleotide ribosomal RNA is filed under the name uncultured bacterium. RNAcentral's name for it is "bacterial SSU rRNA". It matches the Rfam family "Bacterial small subunit ribosomal RNA", at positions 28 to 808 of the family's 1533-position model. The record is from RNAcentral.
GAUGAACGCUGGCGGCGUGCUUAACACAUGCAAGUCGAACGGGGAACAUUUUAUGGAAGCUUCGGUGGAAAUAGCUUGUUCCUAGUGGCGGACGGGUGAGUAACGCGUGGGUAACCUGCCUCACACUGGGGGAUAACAGUCAGAAAUGACUGCUAAUACCGCAUAAGCGCACGGGAUUGCAUGAUCCAGUGUGAAAAACUCCGGUGGUGUGAGAUGGACCCGCGUUGGAUUAGCCAGUUGGCAGGGUAACGGCCUACCAAAGCGACGAUCCAUAGCCGGCCUGAGAGGGUGGACGGCCACAUUGGGACUGAGACACGGCCCAGACUCCUACGGGAGGCAGCAGUGGGGAAUAUUGCACAAUGGGGGAAACCCUGAUGCAGCGACGCCGCGUGAAGGAAGAAGUAUCUCGGUAUGUAAACUUCUAUCAGCAGGGAAGAAAAUGACGGUACCUGACUAAGAAGCCCCGGCUAACUACGUGCCAGCAGCCGCGGUAAUACGUAGGGGGCAAGCGUUAUCCGGAUUUACUGGGUGUAAAGGGAGCGUAGACGGAGCAGCAAGUCUGAUGUGAAAGGCGGGGGCUCAACCCCCGGACUGCAUUGGAAACUGUUGAUCUUGAGUACCGGAGAGGUAAGCGGAAUUCCUAGUGUAGCGGUGAAAUGCGUAGAUAUUAGGAGGAACACCAGUGGCGAAGGCGGCUUACUGGACGGUAACUGACGUUGAGGCUCGAAAGCGUGGGGAGCAAACAAGAUUAGAUACCCUGGUAGUCCACGCCGUAAACG